AGGGUUGUGGCUCAGUGAUAGAGCACUUGCCUAGCAUGUGUGAGGCACUGGGUUCGAUCCCCAGCACCACAU
RNAcentral lists this transfer RNA (72 nucleotides) under Ictidomys tridecemlineatus (thirteen-lined ground squirrel). RNAcentral describes it as "Spermophilus tridecemlineatus (thirteen-lined ground squirrel) tRNA". It matches the Rfam family "tRNA". Rfam says of the family: Transfer RNA (tRNA) molecules are approximately 80 nucleotides in length. Their secondary structure includes four short double-helical elements and three loops (D, anti-codon, and T loops). The record is from Rfam by way of RNAcentral. Lineage: Eukaryota; Metazoa; Chordata; Mammalia; Rodentia; Sciuridae.